This is a long non-coding RNA of Helianthus annuus (common sunflower), 262 nucleotides long. RefSeq lists it as uncharacterized. The transcript is spliced from 3 exons. NCBI's taxonomy places the organism in Eukaryota, Viridiplantae, Streptophyta, Magnoliopsida, Asterales, Asteraceae. The record is from RefSeq and is a predicted model, not a curated record.
GUCGACCAGGAGCCAAGAAAGACAAAGGGGAACCCUUAUUCAUCAUCCCAAAUUCAGCAAUUGAAGCUCUAAUCUUGGCUAAUACUCAUGCAUGUCUUUGAUUUCUUAAUCAUCCAAGCAUGCUAAAGCACUAGGAGUUAAGGAAGAAAGUUCAAGCCGUGCCGGGAUACAAGCUAGCAACGACAAAGGUAAAGCUACUUGAUGGAUGGCAUGGUUGGACCGAACACACUUAUGAUGUACGCUUCCGCAAAGUCUCUAGUCA